RNAcentral lists this non-coding RNA (67 nucleotides) under unclassified sequences. RNAcentral describes it as "S15-Flavobacteria ribosomal protein leader". It matches the Rfam family "S15-Flavobacteria ribosomal protein leader". The record is from RNAcentral.
UAUCUUUGCGCACGAAUUAGGAAAGUCUUGAUUCAUACAUAAUAAUUAUUUAAAUAAUAUUGGAAUG